This is a long non-coding RNA of Megalobrama amblycephala (Wuchang bream), 342 nucleotides long. RefSeq lists it as uncharacterized. NCBI's taxonomy places the organism in Eukaryota, Metazoa, Chordata, Actinopteri, Cypriniformes, Xenocyprididae. The transcript is spliced from 2 exons. The record is from RefSeq and is a predicted model, not a curated record.
UAUAGGCUGCUGCUGCUGUUAUUCCAGACUCAGGAUCUUUAGGGCCAUCCGUGUAUAUUUGUAAUAUGCUAUAAUAUGUUUGUUCAAUGUAUUGCUGCACUGCUAUAUUUGUUAACAUAUUUCUUUCUUUGUGGUGUUUUUUUUUUCAUAACUACAGAGUGCCACAAUAACCCUGGGACUGGCAAUCACAGUGCUGUCAGAGGCACUCAAAACAGGGUUAUUGCUGGCUACUAUUGGUCUACAAUUAUCCAGGAUGUGAAAGACUGGGUCAGAUCUUGUCACCGCUGCCAGUUAAAUGACCCAAUAAAGACUGUUGUGCCAGUCUUGCAUUCCAUUAAGGUA